This 219-nucleotide unclassified non-coding RNA is filed under the name Hevea brasiliensis (rubber tree). Lineage: Eukaryota; Viridiplantae; Streptophyta; Magnoliopsida; Malpighiales; Euphorbiaceae. The record is from RNAcentral.
GUACUUAUUUUAUUUUAAUAUUAAUGGAACUUGAGAAUGAUAAGAAUUACCUCAACAAACAAGUUUAAACAAAGUUCCACUAAUCCAUUGAAUUCAAACCUACUCUGAAUUUCGAAGUUCAAAUUAACUCCUCCAACAGUACAACAUGCAUUGAACAUCAACUUCAUUACCUAAUAUUUCGCUUCUGAGUUCUGGCAUACAUUCAUAUUUACACCUUUU